This is a long non-coding RNA of Musa acuminata AAA Group (dessert banana), 351 nucleotides long. RefSeq lists it as uncharacterized. The record is from RefSeq and is a predicted model, not a curated record. NCBI's taxonomy places the organism in Eukaryota, Viridiplantae, Streptophyta, Magnoliopsida, Zingiberales, Musaceae. The transcript has 2 exons.
GCCUCUCUACCAUGUCUACUUCGGUGGCAUGAUCUUCUCCUACCUCGUCGCCCUCCCCGAGGAGCGCCGCCACCUCGAGCACCAGCAGCACGCCGCCGCCGCCGGCCACCACUGAUGGCUGCCGCCCACCGAUUCUCCCAGGGUUGAAGAGCUUUCAUUUGGAUGACGAGGAAUGGAUACCUACAUUCAUUUUCUACUUACCUAAACCAAGUUGUUUGUGAUUUAUUUUCAGCUGCAGAAUUGAAACAACAGUAUGUUAUGAUUUUUUUCCCGAAUUUAAUUGUCAUGGACAACUAUACAUCUAUGAUCAUGAUGCAAAAUAUUUUCUGAUUUUUUUUGACAAAAACAGCA